This 538-nucleotide ribosomal RNA is filed under the name uncultured bacterium. RNAcentral describes it as "bacterial SSU rRNA". It matches the Rfam family "Bacterial small subunit ribosomal RNA", at positions 335 to 872 of the family's 1533-position model. The record is from RNAcentral.
ACACCUACGGGUGGCAGCAGUGAGGAAUAUUGGUCAAUGGGCGAGAGCCUGAACCAGCCAUUCCGCGUGAAGGAAGAAGGCCUUAUGGGUUGUAAACUUCUUUUCUAUCAGAAGAAUAAGCCAGACGGGUUUUGGUGAUGCCGGUAUGAUAGGAAUAAGCAUCGGCUAACUCCGUGCCAGCAGCCGCGGUAAUACGGAGGAUGCAAGCGUUAUCCGGAUUUAUUGGGUUUAAAGGGUGCGCAGGCGGUAUAAUAAGUCAGUGGUGAAAGUCUGCCGCUUAACGGUAGGAUUGCCAUUGAUACUGUUAGACUUGAGUAUGGAUGAGGUAGGUGGAAUGUGUAGUGUAGCGGUGAAAUGCAUAGAUAUUACACAGAACGUCGAUUGCGAAGGCAGCUUACUAAUCCAUUACUGACGCUGAGGCACGAAAGCGUGGGGAUCAAACAGGAUUAGAUACCCUGGUAGUCCACGCUGUAAACGAUGAUCACUCGCUGUUUGCGAUAUACAGCAAGCGGCUGAGCGAAAGCAAUAAGUGAUCCAC